Molecule: long non-coding RNA, 1377 nt
Filed under: Sarcophilus harrisii (Tasmanian devil)
Lineage: Eukaryota; Metazoa; Chordata; Mammalia; Dasyuromorphia; Dasyuridae
Description: lncRNA (ENSSHAG00000028379.1)
Source: RNAcentral
GAAGCAGGAAGCCCUCCCACAAAAGCAGGCGGCCCUCCGGUACGGAAAGCAGGAAGCCCUCAGCAGCAGAAAGCAAGCGGACCUCGCUUGGGGAAAGCAGGAGGCCCUCAGGAACAGAAAGCAAGCGGCCCUCAGGGGCAGAAAGCAAGCGGCCCUCAAGGGCAGAAAGCAGGCGGUCUUCAAAGUCAGGCCAGCAGACCCCAGUGGUACAGGAGGAGACCUCGGAGUCAGAAAGCAAGCACACUUCAGGGGUAGAAGCAGAGACCUCAGAGACAGAAGGCAAGCAGAUUUUAGAGGCCCAAGGUGAGGAGAUCUUAGAGGCCCAAGGUGAGGAGAUCUCAGGAGUAGAAGGGGAGGAGACCUCUGGGCCAGAAGCCCCGCAAACCUCAGAAGAUCAGCCGACCUCAGAGGCAGAAGAGGAUCUGACCUCAGAAGUAGAAGGCCAGCCGACCUCAGGGCAAGAAGGCCAGCAGAUCUCAGGGCCAGAAGGCCAGUUGACCUCAGAGGCAGAAGGCCAGCAAACUUCAGGGGCAGAAGGGGAGUUGACCUCAGAGGCAGAAGGCCAGCAGGCCUCAGGAGCAGAAGGUGAGCUGACCUCAGAGGCAGAAGGCCAGCAGGCCUCAGGAGCAGAAGGCGAGCUGACCUCUGGGCCAGAAGACCAGGUGACCCCAGGAGCAGAAGAGGAGCUGGCCUCAGAGGCAGAAGGCCAGCAGGCCUCAGCGGCAGAAGGUGAGCUGACCUCAGAGGCAGAAGGCCAGCAGGCCUCAGCGGCAGAAGGUGAGCUGACCUCAGAGGCAGAAGGCCCGCAGGCCUCAGUGGCAGAAGACGAGCUGACCUCUGGGCCAGAAGGCCAGGUGACUCCAGGGGCAGAAGAGGAGCUGGCCUCCACGCUAGAAGGCCAGGUGACCUCAGGAACAGAAGGCGAGCUGACCUCAGGAGCAGAAUUUGAUCAGCUUCUGGCCACAGAAGAUGAGCAGACUUUAGGUGUGAAGACUCCUGAAGGUGAUGAGCUCCUGGACCACGGCAAAGCCUUAUGGCUGGUGAUUGAAGGGGUCGCAAAGAGCAAAGACCAAGAACUGACUGAGGAACUUCCAAAAGAAGAAGGGUCAGAAGGUUACGAAAAGAAGAAAUCAUUAUCUGCUGAGAAAAGUAACCCUACCGAAAAGAGUGAGACACAAUUCUCAGAAACCAAGUUUGAGAACGCCACGGAUAACACAGCCGACGUAGCCAAUGAAGGAGAAGAAGCCAACAGGAAGACGAGCCCUAUAAAAGCCCAAGAAAUGAUGGAAGGAGAGCAGCCUGGUCAAGGGGCUGAGGAAAAGAAAGAAAUCCUCCAGGGCGGGGAGGAAGGGGCAGAGGGGGAGAAGGAGCCUGAAG